AUUGAACGCUGGCGGCAGGCCUAACACAUGCAAGUCGAGCGGAUGAAAGGGGCUUGCUCCUGGAUUCAGCGGCGGACGGGUGAGUAAUGCGCAGGAAUCUACCUCGUAGUGGGGGAUAACGUUUCGAAAGGAACGCUAAUACCGCAUACGUUCUGAGGAAGAAAGCAGGGGACCUUCGGGCCUUGCGCUAUGAGAUGAGCUUGCGUCCGAUUAGCUAGUUGGUGGGGUAAAGGCCUACCAAGGCGACGAUCGGUAACUGGUCUGAGAGGAUGAUCAGUCACACUGGAACUGAGACACGGUCCAGACUCCUACGGGAGGCAGCAGUGGGGAAUAUUGGACAAUGGGGGCAACCCUGAUCCAGCCAUGCCGCGUGUGUGAAGAAGGCCCUCGGGUUGUAAAGCACUUUAAGCGGGGAGGAAGGCCUGAUGGUUAAUACCCAUUGGGAUUGACGUUACCCGCAGAAUAAGCACCGGCAAACUUCGUGCCAGCAGCCGCGGUAAACACG
RNAcentral lists this ribosomal RNA (505 nucleotides) under uncultured bacterium. RNAcentral's name for it is "bacterial SSU rRNA". It matches the Rfam family "Bacterial small subunit ribosomal RNA", at positions 30 to 527 of the family's 1533-position model. The record is from RNAcentral.